UACGUAGGGAGCAAGCGUUGUCCGGAAUCAUUGGGCGUAAAGCGCGCGUAGGCGGCCCUGUAAGUCCGUUGUGAAAGUCAAAGGCUCAACCUUUGAAUGCCGGUGGAUACUGUCGGGCUAGAGUCCGGAAGAGGCGAGUGGAAUUCCUGGUGUAGCGGUGGAAUGCGCAGAUAUCAGGAGGAACACCAAUAGCGAAGGCAGCUCGCUGGGACGGUACUGACGCUCAGGCGCGAAAGCGUGGGGAGCAAACAGG
RNAcentral lists this ribosomal RNA (253 nucleotides) under uncultured bacterium. Its description in RNAcentral is "partial 16S ribosomal RNA". It matches the Rfam family "Bacterial small subunit ribosomal RNA", at positions 524 to 776 of the family's 1533-position model. The record is from RNAcentral.